AGCUUUGCGCAGUGGCAGUAUCGUAGCCAAUGAGGUUUAUCCGAGGCGCGAUUAUUGCUAAUUGAAAAAAGCACUUUUCCAUCAAUUCUGUCACGUUUAAGAUGAAUUUUCCAAAGGGAGUAAGACGGUCUCCUGACAUUCUUAUUCCAGGAAGUCUUUCAGAUUUUCCACAAAG
Molecule: small nuclear RNA, 175 nt
Organism: Callithrix jacchus (white-tufted-ear marmoset)
Lineage: Eukaryota; Metazoa; Chordata; Mammalia; Primates; Cebidae
Gene: U4
Rfam family: U4 spliceosomal RNA
About the family: U4 small nuclear RNA (U4 snRNA) is a component of the major U2-dependent spliceosome.
Source: Ensembl